CUGCGUGCAGCCUGGAAGGAUGAGCCAGGCCAGGCGGGAAACGGAAGUCCAGGUAGAAGGGAGGAGCCGAAUUGGGGUACACUCCAUAUGGGCUCAGGCAGGUCAGCCUGUGGAAUGAAUAGAGGCCAACAUGCAGGCCAGCCCGGAAUGCGGCAGGAGUGACAAUGGCUUUCCGUUUCUGGGAAUUCUGCCAGUACCUACAGUGGUGCCUUUUGACUUGGCUUACCUUUUUUCUCGACAUGCAGGCAGCGUCUAUCCCAGACUACCGGGGCCCUAAUGGAGUGUGGACACUGCUUCAGAAAGGGAGAAGCGUUAGUGCUGCCGACCUGAGCGAGGCCGAGCCAACCCUCACCCACAUGAGCAUCACCCGUCUGCAUGAGCAGAAGCUGGUAAGAGCCCUGGGUGGCUGGUUCACUUGCCAGGGACCAGGCAGAGCACCUUGGUGCCCAGUGGGCAACUAACUGCACCCUCCCUCUGUCUGCCAGUUGACUCCCAUGAUGAGCACCCACCAAGCGGGUUAGGCCCCGGGUUUGAUCCUCCUGUGCUUGACUCUCUAGGACAGAAGGGGAGCUCCCCCUCUGAACCAUCCCAUCCGCAGCCAGCCUCAGCCUCAGAGCUGCUGGUGGCCUUUCCCCUUUGUGAUUCCCUUGCAUUUUUCUGUGGACCUCAGAAGCCAUCCUAGUCACAGGGGAGGCUUAUAGGACAUCUCUGGGGACCUUCUGCUGAACACCCUCAACCAAUGGGGUGUAGCGGUUGAUCUGCCUAGGUCCCCAGGGACCUGAAAUGUCAUGACCCAAGAGAGCAUGGAUCUGGGGCAGAGUGGCCCUUGCCAAACCCCGAGCCACUUCCCAACCUUGCCGGGA
Molecule: small RNA, 863 nt
Filed under: Pan troglodytes (chimpanzee)
Lineage: Eukaryota; Metazoa; Chordata; Mammalia; Primates; Hominidae
Description: retained intron
Source: RNAcentral